GAUGAACGCUGGCGGCGUGCCUAACACAUGCAAGUCGAACGGACAAAGAUGAAACCUAGUGAUUCUUUGUUAGUGGCGGACGGGUGAGUAACGCGUGGGUAACCUGCCCUGUACCGGGGGAUAACACUUAGAAAUAGGUGCUAAUACCGCAUAAGCGCACGAAGAUGCAUGUCUUUGUGUGAAAAACUCCGGUGGUACAGGAUGGACCCGCGUCUGAUUAGCUGGUUGGUGAGGUAACGGCCCACCAAGGCGACGAUCAGUAGCCGGCCUGAGAGGGUGACCGGCCACAUUGGGACUGAGACACGGCCCAAACUCCUACGGGAGGCAGCAGUGGGGAAUAUUGCACAAUGGGGGAAACCCUGAUGCAGCAACGCCGCGUGAGUGAAGAAGUAUUUCGGUAUGUAAAGCUCUAUCAGCAGGAAAGAAAAUGACGGUACCUGACUAAGAAGCCCCGGCUAACUACGUG
This 466-nucleotide ribosomal RNA is filed under the name uncultured bacterium. RNAcentral's name for it is "bacterial SSU rRNA". It matches the Rfam family "Bacterial small subunit ribosomal RNA", at positions 28 to 507 of the family's 1533-position model. The record is from RNAcentral.